AAUGAACGUUGGCGGCGUGGAUUAGGCAUGCAAGUCGAGCGAGAACCCCGCAAGGGGGGACAGCGGCGAAAGGGACAGUAAUGUGUAGAUUAUCUGCCCUCAGGUCCGGGAUAGCUGCGGGAAACUGCAGGUAAUACCGGAUAACAUCUCCGGAUCAAAGGUGUGAUUCCGCCUGAGGAUGAGUCUGCAUCCUAUUAGCUAGUUGGUGGGGUAAUGGCCUACCAAGGCAUUGAUGGGUAGCAGGUGUGAGAGCACGACCUGCGUCAUUGGGACUGAGACACUGCCCAGACACCUACGGGUGGCUGCAGUCGAGAAUCUUCGGCAAUGGGCGCAAGCCUGACCGAGCGACGCCGCGUGUGGGAUGAAGGCCUUCGGGUUGUAAACCACUGUCAGAGGGGAUGAAAUGCAGGUGGGUUCUCCCAUCUGUUUGACAUAGCCUCAGAGGAAGGGCGGGCUAAGUUCGUG
Molecule: ribosomal RNA, 465 nt
Filed under: uncultured bacterium
Lineage: Bacteria
Description: partial 16S ribosomal RNA
Rfam family: Bacterial small subunit ribosomal RNA
Source: RNAcentral